CGGCUAAGAACGGGCGACGCGCCGGAGGAAUAAGUGAGGGGGUAGCGUUAAACGGAAGUACGGAGCGUAAAGCUGGCCCAGGCGGUGAUGCCAGAGCGAUGUGAAAGCCCCUGGCUUAACCUGGGAACGGCAUUGGUGACUGCAUCGCUGGAGGAGGGCAGAGGGGGGUAGGAUUCCACGUGGAGCAGUGAAAUGCGUAGAGAUGUGGAGGAAUACCGAUGGCGAAGGCAGCCCCCUGGGCCAAUACUGACGCUCAUGCACGAAAGCGUGGGGAGCAAACAGGAUUAGAUACCCUGUAGUC
This 301-nucleotide ribosomal RNA is filed under the name uncultured Pyrobaculum sp. Its description in RNAcentral is "bacterial SSU rRNA". It matches the Rfam family "Bacterial small subunit ribosomal RNA", at positions 494 to 795 of the family's 1533-position model. The record is from RNAcentral. Lineage: Archaea; Thermoproteati; Thermoproteota; Thermoprotei; Thermoproteales; Thermoproteaceae.